This is a non-coding RNA of Punica granatum (pomegranate), 1346 nucleotides long. Lineage: Eukaryota; Viridiplantae; Streptophyta; Magnoliopsida; Myrtales; Lythraceae. The record is from RefSeq and is a predicted model, not a curated record.
AGCACUCCAUAUCAAACUGAGGUUCAGCUAUUUCAGUGGAGCUAAUUGAGCAAUGCCUGAUCAGCAUUAUCUGGGACCCGACAAUUCAUUUGGAUGGAGACAACAAACAGAGUCGAAGGCAAGCUCAAAAUAACCUGCUUCUUUCAAGCUGCCAAUCUUGCGUACAUACGGUCUCGGGAACUGCUUCCUGUCGCUGGUUCUUGCUAAAUCAGUCAGGCUUGGAGGCUCACGAAUAGGAUUGCACCUCGGGGAAGCAGGGAGACCGUGCUUUGUCCGGGCUGAUCCUCGGCGAGAUUGAGGGAGGGCAUCAAUUUUUUUAUUUUUUAUUUUUGAUUGAAAGGUAGGACAUCUUGAACACCAUUGUUUGUGCUACUGACUGCAGCAGAUAUGGUCACGCUAGAAAUGAAAGCUUUGGACUUGCACAGUCGUCGCAUUGGAGUCAACGCACUGACUUUUGGGCCAGGAAACUCUGCUCCGCAGCAGCUUUCAUGGAAUUUAGAAAUCAAAUUUUGAUUUUGGCGGACAAGAAAUAGGAAACAGUCUAGGUUCACUGAGGGGCACAUUUCUGAAUCUUCGGAUCCUCCGAGAAUCCUUUUCCGACAACUGCCACCGAUUCUCAUGUCUUUGGAUUUCCACUGUUCGUCUCUCUCACCUCCAAGCUCCCGCCUCUACUUCGCUCCCAUCACCAGAACACUCAGCGCAGGCACGGCACCUCACUGCUCUGGCGCCAUUACAUACUUCUCUUGCUGUCUCGUCCGUGUUUGAGCUCAACGACCUUGCAGGAAUGGUCCAUGGAGUGGCUGUGAAGAUGGGUUUUGAAGCAGACGUGUAUUCCUGCAACCCCACGAUCGAUGCUUAGUGUAAAUGCGGAGGGACUCAUUGUGCAGCUAACGCGUUUACGACAAUGCCUCACAUAGAUUCGGUUUCUUGGACCUCCAUGAUUUGGCUCAGUGGAGGAAGUUCUGCAAUGGCUAUUGGGUUGUUCAAUGCAAUGAGGACUGAGUUCGAUCCAGAAGCCGUUGCAAUGAUGAUCUUAUUGCAGAGAUGCUGUCCCUCGGAGAGGUCAAUUCUGGGCAGGCAACUUCAUGGCCUUUUUGAUGAAGAGUGGAUUAUUAUCAGACAUUUGACCGGAACUCAGUUCUGAGAAUGUGCACCGGAGGUUGGGAACUCAAGGAAGUUGAAAAUGUUCUCUUACGAGCUUGACGAGAAGGAUACAUUUUCAUGGAAUAUUUUGAUAUCAUUCUAUACCUCUAGACGAUAUACUCAUAGAGUCACUCAUAUAUCUUGACAAGUGAUCUCGAAGCCUCCUGCCCUCCAGCUAAAUAAGAAACAUUUUGAGCUCUUCA